Molecule: long non-coding RNA, 2041 nt
Filed under: Acanthaster planci (crown-of-thorns starfish)
Lineage: Eukaryota; Metazoa; Echinodermata; Asteroidea; Valvatida; Acanthasteridae
Description: uncharacterized LOC110984904
Source: RNAcentral
AUGAACGAAGGAUUUCAUUUCACACACAUUCUACUUUAUUUCUUACAGAGGAUGAAUACCAGAGGGCCAUUUACGGACCACGCCGUACAUUUGCAGAUGAUCUAAAUGCUCGUCUAGUUAAUACGGUUUUGAGCGACGAUUCAAGUGCAUCCCCAGUAUUUGUCUGCGUCCAGAUACUUGUCAAAGGGGGUGCUUUCGGAUUAGCUGAGCUUAUGUUCACUGAUCAACCCAGUGUGAGUCUUGUCAGUAAUGGAGCGGAAUGCGUGGUUCUCUCCAAGCAGUUCUUUCUGGAGCACGCGCCGGAGCAUCUCAUACAUCAAAUCAGACUUACGGUGACGCCGUAUGCCAGCGUGCAUGAACUCCAAGUCAAUUUCGAGAAAGAGCUCUCCUGGAAACAUUACCGUGAUGUCACUCUCCGGAAGACAGUGAACAAACUUCGGACAGAAAGGGUUACAUUCAAUAAACUUAAUCAUUCAUUAUAAUCUCUAUAACAAAUUCCCCGGUGCCCCCACCCCGUCAGCGUUGCCCCAGCAAUCAAGAACCCCACUUCAUGCUUCAUGAAGCAUUUGUGGGGAGGCACGUGCCCCCAGGCCUCCCGGUGGCUACGCCACUGUUACUGUUCAAUAUUGACUCUGCCCCAAUUAAAAUGCCUCAAAGGACACUUAAUUAAAAAUGAGCUUAACAGAGCCGUCUUGAACAAAGGUGGUUAGAUGUUCCUAUAUAUGGACUAUAAUAUGGACGCAGUGUCUCUAGCAGGUUUGAUUUGUGUUUGUCAACGUCCGUGUGUUGUACUUUGCGUGUACCGUUCGUACCUGUAGUGCCCUGUCGUGUAAAUAAAUAAUACAUAGGUUAAGUCUCGUCUCUUUAUUAUUUUACGCGACACUGUUUUUUUUUUCUAAUGCCUUCGACGUGUGACUUGCACCCUGCAAAUUUUGAAAAAGCGCUUUUUGCCACUGAUCGCCUGGACAUAAAGGCUGCAGUAUUUUUGCUAUAAGCAAAAUUUCUAAAAUUUUCCACGGGAAAACCAAGUCUCGGUACGGUGAUGGUCUCCGAGAGAGCCAGGCAUCCGAUCUGCCAACAUACCGUAAGUUUGAGGUUCUGAUUUUAUGAAAUUUUCUGUUAUUUCCUGUGUUCUAAAUUUGAUCUUGAGUACAUGUACCACUUCCAGUCGAUGUAAGUGACCACAGAGGAUGCACUGUUUCCAAUCAGGAACUGAUUUAUGGGGAUAUUAUAAAUAUUUCUUUAUUACAUAAUGACUAAGUGGACUAAAUUUGUGGUAUGAUCCAGUAGCUUUGGGGCGAUGUCUUUAGGCGAUUGGUAUACAUGCAAUUGUUUGUAUUUAAUGUUAUCACUACCUCAAUCGGCAUUAAUCUAGGCUUUUGAAUUAUUAUCCGAAUGUACGUUACAUAUUUCAUAUGGCAUCCAGGGCUGCAUGAGCCAUUAGCCCUAGUGAUUAAAGUGCCGAAUUGUGAUCUCCAUUGCCCUACCGACUGCCUGGGGCAGACAGGCCGGAGGCUGGCUGUAGGCGAGCCGGAACACCGACUGUCACCGCCACUAAGGACCUAGCCAAGCGUGACGUCGCCGACACUUUUCCGGCUACCUAUUCAGAGGUUCUGGCGCAAGGUUCAGGCCGACGGUUCGGGCAAAGGGACGGCCUUUGACGCGGAAAGCGUAUCUUACUCGCGGUGGGCCCUACAUAAAUGAGGUUUUUUCUCAAUCUGAUUGCCGGCUUAGUGAGGUUUCAAUAAUUAAUAAGCGAAGGAUUAAACAAAAUAAAUGAUUAUAAUUUUCUUUAUUUCUUUACAAGUAAGAAGAAAUUGCAGCGAAGGAUUAAACAAACUAAUUGAUUAUAAUUUUCUUUAUUUCGUUACAACCAAGAAGUCAAUGCAGAAGCCAUUUAAACUUCUUUCAGUUAUACACCUUGCUUCGUGUUCCGAACGCGGACUAUUAUAGACAUAAUUCGGUCUUACGUGAAAUGCUCCAUUAUUAACUUUUGUAAAUAUUUGUAGAUACUAACAGAUAAUUAAUUUGGUGUGUUUUG